Molecule: transfer RNA, 87 nt
Filed under: Chloroflexota bacterium
Lineage: Bacteria; Bacillati; Chloroflexota
Description: Chloroflexi bacterium (sediment metagenome) tRNA-Ser
Rfam family: tRNA
About the family: Transfer RNA (tRNA) molecules are approximately 80 nucleotides in length. Their secondary structure includes four short double-helical elements and three loops (D, anti-codon, and T loops).
Source: RNAcentral
GGAGAGGUGCCGGAGUGGACGAACGGGGCGGUCUCGAAAACCGUUGUGGUCACUUGGCCACCGUGGGUUCGAAUCCCACCCUCUCCG